UUUAGGGGGUUGGUGGGUGAACAGUUUAUGCAAAUGCAGGUUGUGUAAGAUUGAGACACUUAAGAAAUGCUCAAACUUACAUUUUUAGUCGUGAAAACUUCACUUCGUCUUUUUUAAAAUAUGCCAAUUAAUCCGUUUUUUGUUUGUUUUUUUGCUGAUAUCUGCUCUUUCUCUGUGCACCAGAAUCUCUUUUAGAUUAGGCUUACAGGUCUUAUGUGUGUCUAAACACAACACUUUGGUUUGUCAGUAUUGUGUGUAUCAUUAACACCGCUCUGUGCGUUCGCCUUCCUUUUAUUUGAAGAAGCAGUAUUGUGUGCUUUCCAGCCGCACUGUAUCAUUUUAUGGCAUAAUCAAGUAAUCGUGUCGUCUUCAAUUAUCAAAAUGCUUCGCAAUUUAACGCCUUGAAAUCGGGCCUCUGUCUCUUUAAGAAUCGCCUGCGCUUUCCGACACAGGAUGUCAUCACAUCUACCUUCCUCUGUUAAGCCUUUACAAAUAUUCGUUGGGGCAUUGGACUGAGAAGCAGCUCCUACUGAGGAGCUCAGCAGAUGCUUGCUAAUUGCUGUUGGCUAGUCUGAAGGAGCUGGGUGGGAUAUUUGUGGUGGAGGGCUGCUCUGUGAGGUGGAAGUCUGGAGGAGCUUCGUCUGCGCAGGCGGCACUCAGUCCAACCAGGCGUUUUGCACCGCUGAACGGUUGCCAUGGAGAUUAAAGGAUUUCUCAAACAUGCAUGAAAGAAACACUCCAGGUCCUCGUCAGGUAAUCAAACACCGCCUGGAUUAGCUGUGCGCCCGGUUUCCAAGCAACGCUCGCACAAAGAGAAGAGUCCAGGCGUCGGGCCUCGACCAUCUGCCUGGGCUUUACCGAGUCCCCUGACUGUUGCUUUGUAGGCUUUCUGGAAGUCGGUGCCCGUCUUCAGCUAGUGAGGCGGGUAAGCCGAGUUAGUGAUGAAAUCAUAGGGACAUAUUUUAUUAUAUCAAACCACCUGGGUAAAGUACAACGCCUUAAAGACUUUUUUCUUCUUCACCAAGUCGAUGUGCCUUCAAGGCAGCUUCUGUCUUAGCAAUGAGUCUGUCAGAAGCUGUUUUUGCUCUUUCAUAUUUUUUGAAAGAGCAUAUUUUGUCCUUCCCCGAAG
This is a long non-coding RNA of Xiphophorus couchianus (Monterrey platyfish), 1129 nucleotides long. RefSeq lists it as uncharacterized. Lineage: Eukaryota; Metazoa; Chordata; Actinopteri; Cyprinodontiformes; Poeciliidae. The transcript is spliced from 3 exons. The record is from RefSeq and is a predicted model, not a curated record.